UGGGGAAUAUUGGACAAUGGGGGCAACCCUGAUCCAGCAAUGCCGCGUGUGUGAAGAAGGUCUUCGGAUUGUAAAGCACUUUCGACGGGGACGAUGAUGACGGUACCCGUAGAAGAAGCCCCGGCUAACUUCGUGCCAGCAGCCGCGGUAAUACGAAGGGGGCUAGCGUUGCUCGGAAUGACUGGGCGUAAAGGGCGUGUAGGCGGUUUACACAGUCAGAUGUGAAAUCCCCGGGCUUAACCUGGGAGCUGCAUUUGAUACGUGUAGACUAGAGUGUGAGAGAGGGUUGUGGAAUUCCCAGUGUAGAGGUGAAAUUCGUAGAUAUUGGGAAGAACACCGGUGGCGAAGGCGGCAACCUGGCUCAUGACUGACGCUGAGGCGCGAAAGCGUGGGGAGCAAACAGGAUUAGAUACCCUGGUAGUCCACGCUGUAAAACGAUGUGUGCUAGAUGUUGGGUAACUUUGUUAUUCAGUGUCGCAGUUAACGCGUUAAGCACACCGCCUGGGGGAGUAC
Molecule: ribosomal RNA, 513 nt
Filed under: uncultured bacterium
Lineage: Bacteria
Description: partial 16S ribosomal RNA
Rfam family: Bacterial small subunit ribosomal RNA
Source: RNAcentral